Drosophila ananassae is the source of this 2030-nucleotide long non-coding RNA. RefSeq lists it as uncharacterized. The transcript is spliced from 4 exons. NCBI's taxonomy places the organism in Eukaryota, Metazoa, Arthropoda, Insecta, Diptera, Drosophilidae. The record is from RefSeq and is a predicted model, not a curated record.
GGAAAUGGGACUCUUUAUUGUGAAUACAAAAGUAUAUGUUGACUUUAUUUAUCUUUCCUCCUCGAGCCUCUGGCUGCGUUCCGGCAGACCUGCCGUAUCACCAGUUCCACCUGCUUGCGAUCCAUCUGAAACUUGUGUGUGGUCAGAAACACUAUGUUCUUCAGCUUCGAGGAAUUUAGCUUGGGCUUGGAAUGCUUGGCCAGGAGCACUGAGAACCUGCCAGGUCGCCCAGUCAAUGAAUAGGUUCCCAAUGUCUCUCGCCCAAAGACCAUGUGGCAUAGAUCACUGGUGGUAUUCUUGUAGCAGCUUCAGUCCAACAAUUGGUAGUGCGUAUCGGAAAUAAGUGUUGGAUUGGGACCGGUCUGAACUUGGGUUUUGCAAACUGACUCAUUUGGGUACCCUUCUUUCCGCAAGCUAUUACUUUUCACGUUCCAAUUGCUCCCCUUUAAUUUUUGCAACUUAUUUUCCUUUUUUUGAAUACCUUUCCUCGUAGCGUGGUUAGCUGCUGGGUUUUGAUCCACUGGCCCCAUUCUGAGAAGUUUCCAAGUGGCAUCAAAUGCAGAAAAUUAGAGUUGCUUGCACUCUUUUUUCAGGGAUGGGAGAAAGUUGUGACAAAACUAUCGAUAGGUUAAUAGAGCUAAGAUUUCCGAUUAGGUUCGAAGUUUACUGCAAGCUGUUCAAAAAGAAAAACAUAAAACAAGUAAAUCAAAAAUGAAGUAAAUCAUAACGUUUUCGGGCACAUUUAUGUUUGUGUAAACGGUCCAAUCAAUCGUUAGGAGCAUGCUUUUAAGUUUGGCAAAUAUGGUAUUAAAGAACCUGAAAUUUAAUUUCAAUUAUAUAUCUAGAUCCGAGUCUAAAUGGGAACGCAGGGAUAGACAAAUGCGACCUGGACUAGUGCCACCUCCACGACUGAGUGACUUCAAUUACCCCACACUCUUUUGGAUGGCAGAUGGCAAAGUGUUCCACUCGCCAAACAAGUUCCAGAUUGCAUCUUUAUCUCGGCCCGUACAUAUUCUUGCAGGCAAUAAAAGUUUCUGGGCAAUAAAUCUGCAAGUUUGUGGAGCGAGACCUCGAACCGAGCAGAGGAAAAACAUCUGCAGUCGGCGAUGCACACAAAUUGCCAAAGAGUUGGCCGUCGAACAGGUGGCCCUGGAUCGAGCGGCAGGCUGCGGAUGAGGAGGACAGGAUUUUAUGUCUUGCAGGUCACUGAUUCACUUGGCCUCCAUUUCGGCUUAGUUCUUUGCUGAACGUAAAAACUGCGACUCAAAGGUUUAUGGCCAGGCCGACUGUGAGCAGGACGACGAACAAACAAGCGGAGAGCUCGGAUUGGCGACAUCCUCCUGCAGGUCCUUGUUGCCGUGCUUGUUGUUGGCUGUCUGGCAGUUGGAAAAAUUGACUGCAUUGCCCACGGGUCAACAAAUAAAUUGGUUGGCCGAGCGGCGCGCCCUGCUGCCAUGUUGAUUUUGAGGUCAUCGCUGAUAUUGCGGAUGCGAAUCGUUUUUGAUUGCACCGGGCGGUUCCACUGGCAAUGCAGCACAGCCCCGAGAUGAUGCGGUAACCGCACUACUGUCAUUUACACUCCCAUUCCCAUACCCAAACUGAGUCCCAUUGCCACGGACAGAUGGACUCGGACUCCGGAUCCGAAGCUGACUACGGUCUGCAGUCUACGGUGUAUUAAUUGUGGUUGCGACUGGCCAUAAAAAGUCGGUGCGUCAAAUAUUUAUUACAAAUGACCGUGACAAGCGGAAGGACAUACGCAUUGGCAGGAUGAGAGCCAGUCGAGUUUUGUGUUUUCCCCGGAUUUUCCCUGGACUGCCCACCUGCAGAAUGUUAAAUAAAUCAAGCUCAUGCCCAUGUAUACGUAUCUCUUUUCGGAUGCGCCGAGUGGGUUUGGUGAAUAUUUCACGAAUUGAGCUGUCAUGCAAAUGUGGUAUUUCUGUUUUUGAAGUUGACAGGCCUCGAAAAUUGCAGCGUACAUCUAGAUUGAACCAUUGACAGGACGCGGAGGAGCCGGCACGUCCUGGGUGUGG